CUCUCUCUCUCUCUCUCUCUCUCUCUGUGUGUGUGUGUGUGUGAACUUGUGUGUCUCGGUGUUUAAUUCCUUUGUUUUGGAUCACUUGGAAGCCUUCCAUUUCAAAGGAAGUGCAAUGGCUCUCUCCCCAAGUUCCGAGACAUGAGGGAUUUAGAGGGCAACAAUGUAAUAAAGGACGUUAGUUUUAAAGAUCUUAUUAGACACACAACUGAAGACACCCCCUAGACCCUCUUCAGUAUUACCCGUGCCAUUCAUAAAUUUCAGAAGCCUCGAAAUCUGUCUUCUGCAAUUUUAAAAGGAGAUGGGUACUAGAUUUCCCCAUCCCUUUAAUGGUCUGGGGUAGCUUUUUUUCAUUUUUAAUAUGUAGGGCCUCCCUGCCUUUGCCGCUUAGCGAUCUUGCUCAAGAGAGCCUUGUGCACUGACUGUUCUAAGAAUGACUCUGGUGAGAAGGAAGAGAAGCGCACUCGAAUGAAGACAGCUGUUACUGGAAAGAGUUAAGUUCAUUCAUUCAAAAGGGCCCUUUCGUAAGUCCUAGAGGAAUUUGCCAGAGGCGGUAGGAUCUUGAAGGCUUUCUGGGGGUGGGGACUUUUAAAGACAAUGGGUUGUCAAGUGUUAUGCAAAUAACGAAGGCCAAGCCGAGGCCUUGUCCCGCAGGCCAGCCAACUUAUUAGCUAGAGAACUGUUCCGCUGGCCUUACAGUUCAUUGUUUCCAUCUUUGGGAAGCGGCGGGAGGGUAGGGGGUGAGGGUGGAGAAGGCGCAGAACGGGGUAGAAGGAGGUGAUGGAGAAACAGAAUGGAGGGGAGGGCUCCUGGCUUCUGUUGUGGCGUCUUUUCUAUUUGACUUCAUGGUUGUAAGUAUUUCCAGAUGGUGAAUCAGACACCAGACGUAACAAUAUUUCCAUAUUUGGGUAUAGCAGUAGCCUGCGUUUUUAACAUUUUUCUGCCUCUGUUAUCCAACCACAAGGCAUUCUUGACAGCUUCAAAUGUUGUUAAAUAUAGACUUAACUUCUGUUCCCAGAGCAGGAAAUUCUUUGGAAUUCCUUGUUUUUCACGCAAUCUGUCCAUCAUGAUUUAAAAUAAAGUUACAGUGGAUGAUCCAACUGGCCUGGAUAUACUGUGUUCCUUUGCUGCGGGGGAUGGGGUGACAGUGGAGAGGUCCAGUAUUCUAUACAGCAUUCAGACACACCAUUCCGUAGAUGCCUUUAAAAAUCAGAUUAAAGUUUUCUAACGAGGAUGUGUGGGGUUUUGUUUCUGGACUCCAACUGGGCAAUCUCAGAAGAAGGGGAUUGUCCCAGAGGAGACAGAGGGAGAACAUUAGCAUCAGCUGUCCAUUUAAAGCAGCGGGUGUGUGGUGAGAAGAGGAGGGAGUUGGAGUCGGCAAGGCCGGGAGGUGCAGGAGGAGGAAAGGCUGCUGGAACCCAUGUGCACAGCCUUUGCAGACUGCGUGCACUGCCUAGCCCGCUGGUAACCAGGAGGAACAGCGGCUGCUUGAGUCCCUGCCUAGGAUGGUCCAGAAACUCCAGACGUCCUGUCGCCUUCUCACCUCCUCUGCUGAGAGCUACAGAUCCUUCGUUGACAGACAGGGAGGGAAAUGUGCAAAUGGUGUGGAGAAGACAAUUCCACUACAGGAAUACAUUAACACGAUGGCUUCCCCCUCCAAAUUUUUUGGUUGCAAUUCCAUCUGUACUGAAAGCCAGUUCAAGCAGCCUUGGCCCAGACUUUUCCAAAAGAAAAUCGGAUCUCAGUUUCAAAACAAAAACCAAAGAGCUGGGUUUUUUGUUUUUUUUUCCCAGCCAGGUCUUCCAUAGUUAAAUUCAGGAUUAAGACCCACGGGGUUGUGGUUGGCCGGUGGGGCUCCCAGUUGCAGCGUGUCUCUCUGGUUCCUCGCCAGCCACGGCACUUGGCUGUGCAGGUAGCAGCGGGCACUGGGAGUGCCUCUCCAGCCUGCAUUCCUUGGCCAUGAAUUUUGAAGCCCUGUUUAUCUGAUGAAGACCUCUGGCGAGUGGAUUGCUCAUGACAGUGUCACACAGAUCCUAAUGAGUGACAUGAAAAGACACUGAAUAUUUUUUCCUCUUGGAAUGCCAACCAAUCCGGAAUUCCCCAGCUCCUCCAUUCGAGCUGAUGCCACAAAGGCCUGGUGCUGAGAACCAAUGAGACCUUCCUUAUGUCUACCAAAGCCCGGCAGGACACGUACAAGUCUCCUCUGUGAGCCUGUCACUGCAGCUUCUUCUGGAGAUUUUUUUAAAAAAUUACAUCUGCUCCUUCAGUGAGCCUUACUCUGCAUUAAUGAGUCAUUUCCACAUGCAGUCCCUGGGAGUCCCCUAGAAAUUAAUUCCAGGACUUCCUUCCCACCCGAGAGUAUAAGAUUUGACAUUUCUUAAGUGCCUGGUGUGAGUUGGUGCAGAUGUGCAAGUAACCCUCCACCUUCCUGUACAGCUUCCACUGACUUUCACGACUGUUACACCCAAUAGGAUGCAAUAUUACACACAUGUUUUUAUUAUGUGCUCUCUGUAGAACAUUAGCAACAAAAACCUCUGUACAGUUCCAAAGUUUCCCUUAAAUAAUAAUUAUGUGCACACGGCAUGCUUGUGGGUGCACACACCACAGCAUAAGUGUGGAGGUAAGAGGACAAUUACGUGGUGUUGAGUCUCUCCUCUCCCUUUUGUGUGGGUUCUGGGGCUUGAACUCAGACUACCAGGCUUGCUUGGUGAGCCAUCUUCUAACCUUCCUCUCUAAAAAAUAAAAAGAGAUUUACUUUUA
RNAcentral lists this small RNA (2760 nucleotides) under Rattus norvegicus (Norway rat). RNAcentral's name for it is "uncharacterized LOC102553018". The record is from RNAcentral. Lineage: Eukaryota; Metazoa; Chordata; Mammalia; Rodentia; Muridae.